RNAcentral lists this long non-coding RNA (428 nucleotides) under Mytilus galloprovincialis (Mediterranean mussel). Lineage: Eukaryota; Metazoa; Mollusca; Bivalvia; Mytilida; Mytilidae. The record is from RNAcentral.
GUUGUACGCAAAAUAUAAUACUGAAACAUUUUAUGUUCAAGCUAAGAUGAAAAAAAGGAAUGAGAAACCUUUCUUUUUUCCUAUUCUGAAACUACGAUGUUUGUACAAAGUUCAGUUUUGUCGUAAUUUCAAGGCAGAUGGUGGAUUCGGGGAUGGGGACGAACAUGUCGUUCACCCAAGGAUUGGACAAAUUAUCGUGUUUUGCCUUAAAAUCGUCAAUAUUGUUUUUAGUCUCGCUACGCUCGGUGAUAUAUAUUUUUUUAUUUGAUAGAAUAACGCCCCUUUUAAAAUCUAGGAACCGCCCCUAAAGGUAAAAAUAGAUUUGAACUGUGCAGUAUAUCUGAGGUAGUUAAUGCACACCUUUGCUGUGCAUUAUCCAGAUUAUAGCACAGUAAGAACAAAGAGAUUUUACCCAUACCAUGUGUUAA